This 383-nucleotide unclassified non-coding RNA is filed under the name uncultured bacterium. RNAcentral describes it as "contains 16S-23S intergenic spacer region". The record is from RNAcentral.
UCCUGGUUUCCCAGGCAGUCCCACCAGAGUGCUACUGUUUCCAAUGAGCAACUGAUGGCAAGGGUUGCGCUCGUUAAAGGACUUAACCCAACAUCUCACGACACGAGCUGACGACAGCCAUGCAGCACCUGUGUAACCGUCUGUAUUACUACAGAACCCAACGUUUCUGCUGGUAGCAGUUACAUGUCAAGCCUAGGUAAGGUUUCUCGCGUAGUGUCGAAUUAAACCACAUGUUCCACCGCUUGUGCGGACCCCCGUCAAUUUCUUUGAGUUUUAAUCUUGCGACCGUACUCCCCAGGCGGAUCACUUAACGCGUUAGCUUCGACACAGAUUCUGCUUAGCAAAACCCAUAUCUAGUGAUCAUCGUUUACAGCGUGGACUAC